RNAcentral lists this ribosomal RNA (440 nucleotides) under uncultured bacterium. RNAcentral describes it as "partial 16S ribosomal RNA". It matches the Rfam family "Bacterial small subunit ribosomal RNA", at positions 355 to 788 of the family's 1533-position model. The record is from RNAcentral.
UGGGGAAUUUUGGACAAUGGGCGAAAGCCUGAUCCAGCAAUGCCGCGUGUGUGAAGAAGGCCUUCGGGUUGUAAAGCACUUUUGUCCGGAAAGAAAUCCUUGGCUCUAAUACAGUCGGGGGAUGACGGUACCGGAAGAAUAAGCACCGGCUAACUACGUGCCAGCAGCCGCGGUAAUACGUAGGGUGCAAGCGUUAAUCGGAAUUACUGGGCGUAAAGCGUGCGCAGGCGGUUUGCUAAGACCGAUGUGAAAUCCCCGGGCUCAACCUGGGAACUGCAUUGGUGACUGGCAGGCCAGAGUAUGGCAGAGGGGGGUAGAAUUCCACGUGUAGCAGUGAAAUGCGUAGAGAUGUGGAGGAAUACCGAUGGCGAAGGCAGCCCCCUGGGCAAUACUGACGCUCAUGCACGAAAGCGUGGGGAGCAAACAGGAUUAGAUACCCU